GCCAAAGAAACCUGUCGGAAGCCCUGGAUGUGGCAUCUGCAGCAUCAGAGCCCCAGCCUCUGAAGCCACCAAGACCUGAACAGCCUGUUAGAGACCACCACAAGCUGGGCUCCUCCCCCGCUUGACAGAAUCAAACAAGGGCAAGAGAUGGUGGCUGGAGCGAUGCGAAGGCACUGGAUGGCAAGCCCUCCCUCGGCCGUGGGCAGGGGGUGACUGUCCCGAGAGCAGAGGGACUCCGUGAAGGAAGCUGACUCGGUGUGACUGCACGUGAGAAGAUCUGGAUACAGCCGCAUAACCUUCCCAGGAGGACCCACAGGCCCCUAUGAGCUAGUGGGCAACUUCACAUAUUGGUGCUACUGCUUGCUCUGAAGAUGAUGAGUAGAAAGGGCCUUGAUUUAGCCUUUUGGGAUCUCAGUUUCUACCUCUCGAUGAGAUGAAUUUUCAGUGACUCAUAUGCCAAAAGUAUAUCAUGGUAUGUAUUAUAGAUGACAGAAUUCAAGACAUUGGUUGAUAAAAACAAAACAAUUCAAGGAACCAAGCAGAAAAGUUUGUCUGCUCAUUAUGUAAAGAAGAACUUUGUAGCUUUUAGAACCAUCCAGCAAGGAACUUGCC
This 612-nucleotide long non-coding RNA is filed under the name Equus asinus (donkey). RNAcentral describes it as "lncRNA (ENSEASG00005030370.1)". The record is from RNAcentral. Lineage: Eukaryota; Metazoa; Chordata; Mammalia; Perissodactyla; Equidae.